Long non-coding RNA from Gambusia affinis (western mosquitofish), 736 nucleotides. RefSeq lists it as uncharacterized. The record is from RefSeq and is a predicted model, not a curated record. The transcript has 2 exons. Lineage: Eukaryota; Metazoa; Chordata; Actinopteri; Cyprinodontiformes; Poeciliidae.
GUUUCCUCCAGAGUCCGACUGGUGUGAGGAGGACAACGGUGGCUGUGAGCAGAUCUGCACCAGUAAGGGAACUGGGCCCAUCUGCAGCUGUGUGACUGGGAUGCUGCAGCCUGAUGGGAAAAGCUGCCGCACUCUGAGCUCGUCCUGUAAGGUCGCCCCUGCUCUGCCUCUGCUGAGCGCCAGCGCCGUAAUCUCCAUCAUCCUCACCCACUUUAACUCCUUCGUCGUCUCCUAACAGCCACAGCAGCCAAACGCCAAACAGAAAAGACUUGAAGACGAGACUGGAAUUUGAAUUUCUGAGUGCAGAUGUGAAAAUAGCUCUUUGUAGAACGCUGUAAAGCUUCUGUUCUUUAGAUUCAUCAAGAUUUCUAAUUUAAAGUGUGUAGAGUUUGGGUUUUUUUAAAUGCUUCUUUUUUUUUUUUUUUUUAAAGUUUCUGAUUGUUUUCCUUUUUUAUGGAAGUAUUGUGUUAACAAUAAUCACCACCAGAUGGCGCCAAAGAAGCAAAUAUCUUCAAAUCUAAACAGUGGAAGGAUUGAGGUGGAUUAAAUGUGAAAGUCAGGGAGAGAUUGUGAUUAAAUUAUUAUAAACUACAUUUCUUGGUGAAAUAAAAUAUGAUUGGAUAGUUUGACAGUCGGAACUGUAAGAAUAAAAUCUGAAACUGGCCUUUUUAAGCGUUACCUCUGGCAUAACAGCCGCAUCUAAAAUAAACACUCAUUGAAUUGAGUCACAGAAUGA